UACGUAGGUGGCGAGCGUUGUCCGGAUUUACUGGGCGUAAAGGGAGCGUAGGCGGACUUUUAAGUGAGAUGUGAAAUACCCGGGCUCAACUUGGGUGCUGCAUUUCAAACUGGAAGUCUAGAGUGCAGGAGAGGAGAAUGGAAUUCCUAGUGUAGCGGUGAAAUGCGUAGAUAUUAGGAGGAACACCAGUAGCGAAGGCGGCUCUCUGGACUGUAACUGACGCUGAGGCACGAAAACGUGGGGAGCAAACAGGAUUAGAUACCCUGGUA
Molecule: ribosomal RNA, 269 nt
Filed under: uncultured prokaryote
Description: partial 16S ribosomal RNA
Rfam family: Bacterial small subunit ribosomal RNA
Source: RNAcentral